This 73-nucleotide transfer RNA is filed under the name Perkinsus olseni. It matches the Rfam family "tRNA". From Rfam's summary of the family: Transfer RNA (tRNA) molecules are approximately 80 nucleotides in length. Their secondary structure includes four short double-helical elements and three loops (D, anti-codon, and T loops). Lineage: Eukaryota; Perkinsozoa; Perkinsida; Perkinsidae. The record is from Rfam by way of RNAcentral.
GCCGGGAUAGUCCAGUGGUUAUGACGUCUGCCUUACACGCAGAAGGUCGCGAGUUCAAUCCUGGCUCCUGGUA